RNA transcript from Elephantulus edwardii (Cape elephant shrew), 2042 nucleotides. It is a transcript of the gene named heat shock 60kDa protein 1 (chaperonin) pseudogene, with no coding region annotated. Lineage: Eukaryota; Metazoa; Chordata; Mammalia; Macroscelidea; Macroscelididae. The transcript has a single exon. The record is from RefSeq and is a predicted model, not a curated record.
UCUGUCCCUCACUCCUCGCUGACGGCCUUGCUUUCCGCGUGCACUCCCGCUCGCCGUCCGCCCUGCAGAAAUGCUCCGAUUACCUGCAGUCCUUCGGCAGAUGAGGCCAGUGUCUAGGGCCCUGGCUCCUCAUUUAACUCGGGCUUAUGCCAAAGAUGUCAAAUUUGGUGCUGAUGCCCGAGCCUUAAUGCUUCAAGGUGUAGACCUUUUAGCUGAUGCUGUAGCUGUUACUAUGGGGCCAAAGGGAAGAACAGUCAUUAUUGAACAGAGAUGGGGAAGUCCCAAAGUUACAAAAGAUGGUGUAACUGUUGCAAAAUCAAUUGACUUGAAGGAUAAAUACAAAAAUAUUGGGGCCAAGCUUGUUCAGGAUGUUGCCAAUAACACAAAUGAAGAGGCUGGAGAUGGUACUACCACAGCUACUGUACUGGCACGCUCUAUUGCCAAGGAAGGCUUCGAGAAGAUUAGCAAAGGUGCUAAUUCAGUGGAAAUCAGGAGAGGUGUGAUGUUGGCUGUUGAUGCUGUAAUUGCUGAGCUUAAGAAGCAGUCUAAACCUGUGACAACUCCUGAAGAAAUUGCUCAAGUUGCUACAAUUUCUGCAAAUGGAGAUAAAGAAAUUGGCACCAUCAUUUCAGAUGCAAUGAAAAACGUUGGGAGAAAGGGUGUCAUUACAGUAAAGGAUGGAAAAACACUGAAUGACGAAUUAGAAAUUAUUGAAGGCAUGAAGUUUGACCGAGGCUAUAUUUCCCCAUAUUUUAUUAAUACAUCAAAAGGUCAGAAAUGUGAAUUCCAGGAUGCAUAUGUUUUAUUGAGCAAAAAGAAAAUUUCUAGUGUCCAGUCCAUUGUACCUGCUCUAAAUUGCCAGUGCUCACCGUAAGCCUUUGGUCAUAAUUGCUGAAGAUGUUGAUGGAGAAGCUCUAAGUACUCUUGUAUUGAAUAGGCUAAAAGUUGGGCUUCAGGUUGUAGCCGUCAAAGCUCCAGGUUUUGGUGACAAUAGAAAGAACCAGCCUAAAGACAUGGCAAUUGCUACUGGUGGAGCAGUGUUUGGAGAAGAGGGAUUGACCCUGAAUCUUGAAGAUGUUCAGCUGCAUGACUUGGAAAAAGUUGGAGAGGUCAUUGUGACCAAAGAUGAUGCCAUGCUCUUGAAAGGCAAAGGUGACAGGGCUCAAAUUGAAAAACAUAUUCAAGAAAUCAUCGAGCAAUUAGACAUUACAACUAGUGAAUAUGAAAAAGAAAAACUGAAUGAACGUCUGGCAAAACUUUCAGAUGGAGUGGCAGUGCUGAAAGUUGGUGGGACAAGUGACAUGGAAGUAAAUGAAAAGAAAGACAGAGUUACAGAUGCCCUUAACGCAACACGAGCUGCCGUUGAAGAAGGCAUUGUUCUUGGAGGAGGCUGUGCUCUGCUUCGGUGCAUUCCAGCUUUGGACUCACUCACUCCAGCUAAUGAAGAUCAAAAAAUUGGUAUUGAAAUUAUUAAAAGAACACUCAAAAUUCCUGCAAUGACCAUUGCCAAGAAUGCUGGUGUUGAAGGAUCAUUAAUAGUUGAGAAAAUUUUGCAGAGUUCCUCAGAAAUCGGUUAUGAUGCUAUGCUUGGAGAUUUUGUGAAUAUGGUAGAAAAAGGAAUCAUUGAUCUAACUAAGGUUGUAAGAACUUCUUUGUUGGAUGCUGCUGGAGUCGCGUCUCUGUUAACCACAGCAGAAGUUGUAGUCACAGAAAUUCCUAAAGAAGAGAAGGACCCGGGCAUGGGUGGAACGGGAGGUGGAAUGGGUGGUAUGGGAGGAGGCAUGUUCUAAUACCCAGAUAGUGCUUUACCACUUAUUAAUGAACUGUGACAGGAAGUGCAAGGCAUUGUUCCUCACCAAUAACUUCAGAGAAGUCAGUGGAAGGAAAUGGUGGGAGAAAAGGCUGGCUGAUGUCUAAGAAAAUCACUAUAACCAUCAGUUACUGGUUUUAGUUGACAAUAUGUAAUGGGGUUUACUGCUGUCAUUGUCCAUGCCAACAGAUAAUUUAUUUUGUAUUUUUGAAUAAAAAAAGACAUUUGUACA